AUUGAACGCUGGCGGCAUGCUUUACACAUGCAAGUCGAACGGCAGCGCGGGCUUCGGCCUGGCGGCGAGUGGCGAACGGGUGAGUAAUGCAUCGGAACGUGCCCAGUAGUGGGGGAUAGCCCGGCGAAAGCCGGAUUAAUACCGCAUACGACCUGAGGGUGAAAGCGGGGGACCGAAAGGCCUCGCGCUAUUGGAGCGGCCGAUGUCGGAUUAGCUAGUUGGUGGGGUAAAGGCUUACCAAGGCGACGAUCCGUAGCUGGUCUGAGAGGACGACCAGCCACACUGGGACUGAGACACGGCCCAGACUCCUACGGGAGGCAGCAGUGGGGAAUUUUGGACAAUGGGGGCAACCCUGAUCCAGCGAUGCCGCGUGCGGGAAGAAGGCCUUCGGGUUGUAAACCGCUUUUGUUCGGGAAGAAAUCCUCUGGGCUAAUACCCCGGGGGGAUGACGGUACCGGAAGAAUAAGCACCGGCUAACUACGUG
RNAcentral lists this ribosomal RNA (484 nucleotides) under uncultured bacterium. RNAcentral's name for it is "partial 16S ribosomal RNA". It matches the Rfam family "Bacterial small subunit ribosomal RNA", at positions 28 to 507 of the family's 1533-position model. The record is from RNAcentral.